RNAcentral lists this ribosomal RNA (492 nucleotides) under uncultured bacterium. Its description in RNAcentral is "partial 16S ribosomal RNA". It matches the Rfam family "Bacterial small subunit ribosomal RNA", at positions 29 to 507 of the family's 1533-position model. The record is from RNAcentral.
AGUGAACGCUGGCGGUAGGCCUAACACAUGCAAGUCGAACGGCAGCACAGUAAGAGCGGGCUCUUACGGGUGGAGAGUGGCGGACGGGUGAGGUAUACAUCGGAAUCUACUUUUUCGAGGGGGAUAAAGUAGGGAAACUUACGCUAAUACAGCAUACGACCUACGGGGGAAAGCAGGAGAUCUUCGGACCUUGCGCGAUUGAAUGAGCCGAUGUCGGAUUAGCUAGUUGGCGGGGUAAAGGCCCACCAAGGCGACGAUCCGUAGCUGGUCUGAGAGGAUGAACAGGGACACUGGAACUGAGACACGGCCCAGACUCCUACGGGAGGCAGCAGUGGGGACUAUUGGACAAUGGGCGCAAGCCUGAUCCAGGCAUACCGCGCGGGUGCAGAAGGCCUUCGUGUUGGAAAGCCGUUUUGUUGUUAAAGAAAAGCAGCAGGUUAAUACCCCGCUGUUCUGACGGUACCCGAAGAAUAAGCACCGGCUAACUUCGUG